RNAcentral lists this long non-coding RNA (1446 nucleotides) under Spirodela polyrhiza (greater duckweed). Its description in RNAcentral is "long non-coding RNA (SPOL_LNC001510)". Lineage: Eukaryota; Viridiplantae; Streptophyta; Magnoliopsida; Alismatales; Araceae. The record is from RNAcentral.
CAGAGACUUAGGAAACUAUGCCUGGUUUACCAUUAGAUGACUGGCUUUGUCAAUCCUUCAUCUCAUUCCCAUUGCGUGUGGACAUUGUGCAUGAUGCAGUUGUUUGUGGAAAUGCGAUACCUAAAACCGUUCAAAAGAUUUCCUCGUUUUCACGGAUUUUAAUUAAAAUAACUACGUAUUUAGUGUUUGUUAAUAGGUGCGUGUGCAAGUCACGUAGAGGACCUUACUGCAUCUUGCAUUUUACGAAUGUGUAUUUCUGCACGGGAUAACUUUGUUGGUGUGAAGGGUUACCUUUCAAGGCUUAUGAGUAGUUUAUAGACGGAAGAAAGAUCUCCUCUUGUAUACGAUUACACCAUUUUCGUGGAAAUCCUUGCCCAUUAUGCAUCUUUUAUCAUAUUCUCUGAUUCCAUGGGACUCUGGCACACUUGUGCGUUUAACUGGCUGAAUGUGGUCUGUUUUUCCCAGUCUGCUACUCAUUUGAUUUAUCUGGGACUAAUUAAGUUAUUCUCUUUUGUGUUUCAUUUUCAGGUUUAUCGGCUGAGAGAAUAACUGUUGAUGAUUUUCAAGGUAUCUCUCUCCUCAAGAGAUACCAUAAUGCUGCAAUCACUUAGUACUUGAUCACCAAGGUCAUAAGUGGCUGGGACGUAUGAAAAUGUCAUUAGCUUUAGUGUGGAAAAAUGAAUGCUCUCCGGUUAUACUGACUACUUUAGCAGAAGUUUUUGGUAGAAAUGAAUCGUCAAAUGUUGUGUUGAGUAUAAAGACAUGUGGUGAGCCUUUGUCCUCACUGACGAGAAGAAAUUAUGCAGAAUUUUUUUUGUCUCGUAGAAUGUGGGACUCUUUAUUCUGGCCUCUCUAUCAUAAGUUCACUGCAUGCAUCAUAUUGUCAUAAAGUGAGGUUUUGCCACUCUUCUGCCUAGGGUGUGAUUGACACGUUCCAGAUGUAUCCAUUUCUUUGGUAUGAUCUGGUUAGCAACUCCCUCGUUGAGCCUGCCUCAUUUGUCAUUUAAUCCGUCGUGGAUACCUCCGUGAUGACAGUGAGGCACCACGACGCCCUGGUUGUCUUCUCUUCAUCUUACCCUGUGAAGAGUAUUCUAGUGCUAUUUGAGGGAGUUGGUAACUGUUUAUCUAUUUACUUUUCCACGUUAAACUUUCCCUGUUAUGUUCGUUAUGUGCAUUCUAUAUUAGAUUGUCGAAAUAUAUGCCAAUGUAAAAUUAAAAGAUGUGGGCCGAAGGUGGAAAUAUGUGACAUGUUUAAACAGAUAACUUGAACCGAUAAAUUUCGAAAGUGGGCACCAUGAUUGUGUUGAUUAGGUUUUUCUUGUAUAGAUUCUUUGAUAUAACUUUUUCUUUUUGGUAGCUUAAUCGAAACUCCAAACAAAGAUAGGAAAAAUAGAGGGUCUGGUGUAAUAACGGAGUCCUUGAGUCGCUUAGGCUCUAUUUAAUUUG